UACGUAGGGAGCGAGCGUUGUCCGGAUUCAUUGGGCGUAAAGAGCUCGUAGGCGGCUUGGCAAGUCGGGUGUGAAAACUCCAGGCUCAACCUGGAGACGCCACCCGAUACUGCCAUGGCUAGAGUCCGGUAGGGGACCACGGAAUUCCUGGUGUAGCGGUGAAAUGCGCAGAUAUCAGGAGGAACACCAAUAGCGAAGGCAGCUCGCUGGGACGUUACUGACACUGAGGCGCGAAAGCGUGGGGAGCGAACAGG
Molecule: ribosomal RNA, 254 nt
Filed under: uncultured bacterium
Lineage: Bacteria
Description: partial 16S ribosomal RNA
Rfam family: Bacterial small subunit ribosomal RNA
Source: RNAcentral